CUCGUGUCUCUGAUAUCUUCCUAUACUGUGUAGGUCACAUGGCCAUCAAGGCAGCAGUGCCCCACAUUUUUAUAUUCCAGCCUGAGGACCAGCCUUUUGUUGGGUUUGUGUCCUGUAGCCGUCUUCCUGGUUGUUUUGCAUGACUGCCUGUCCUCUUAUCCUCCAACUCUCACCUUAACUGUAAUUGCCCCCAGAGAGUCCUUUCUGGCUCUCCUUACCUACAGAGUUCCCCCUUUACCCACUGCCCUGUUUAUUUCCUAACACUUUAACAAGAAUUCUUUCUUACUGCUUUCACAUCUCAUUGCUUGUCUCCACCGCAAAUUUCCUGUGGUGGGAAAAAAAAUCCACUUUGUUAAUUACAACAGCAGUGCACUUAAUGGCAAACAGUAAGCACUCUAGAAAAUUAUUAGCUAAAUGAAUAAAGAUCUGUAAGAUUGUAUUUGAAAAAAUUUCCUGUAGGAAGCAUUGCUUUAAAUGAACAUGGCCGUAAGCCCAAGAGAUACCUUUACAGAGCUUUCUCAUUCAAAUAAGUGUCUUGUGAUGGUUCAAUAGGCAGACUGUAGUGUUCUGCACCAAGAACUCACAACUGUAGCCAAGCCCUUCUCACACAGGCUCUCAGUCUCCCUUGCCUGCAGGUGCACACAGGCCGACACUCGAUGGACACAUGCCGUUGAAAUAAACCGGGACUAACCACUUUGUGUCUCCCAGAGCCCUUACUGUGCCUGCCCCUCUUCCUCUUCCGCUCAGGAAAUCAUGUUAGCAGAUAAUACAAACAGAUUCUGGCUAGAAUUUAUUGGAUGAACAGUCAGAUCCUGAAAUUUAGGAGUUGAAGCAGCAAGCAGUUUGAUGAUACAAGCCAUGGAUCUCAGGGGCCUCAGAAGCAGAUUGUUAUGGAUCUUCCUCUGGAAUGUUGAUGCCUUUAUUUCUCAUUUUUAGUGACCUGUCAUCAGUUGCCAGGAAGACAGGGCUGUGUCCCACAGCAUGAACACUGGUAUCAUUUCUCUGAUUCAGGAGUACUUCACAGGGAAAAGGGAAUGUUGGGAGACUAAUAUAUUUUAAAGUUUCUUUUUUUAUUUUAUUUGAAAUAUUUAUGUAGUAUAGAAAAACUAAUUUUAGUGAUGACAAAUGUUAUUAAUUUAGAUAAUAGUUUACCAUAAAAGAGAGACAUAAGAAAUAUUUAUGUGCUGGGCAGGAGGCAUAACUCAGUGGUAGAAUGCUUGGCUAGCAUGCAUGAGGUCCUGGGUUCAAUCCCAAGAAAACUUCCUUCCCCUAAAAAAAAAAAAAAAUAAUUAUAGGAUGAAAUUUCAGAAUGUCACUGAAAGUUUUUAAAGGUUUUUUUUUGAGACAUGAUUGACAUAUAAUAAAGUCUACAUAUUUAAAGUCAUGGUUUGGUAUAUUUUGGCACUUAUGAUGCACAUCCAGAAAACUGCCACCAUGAUGAAGACAAUGACUGUCUUCCACCCCCGGAUUGUCUCCUUGUGUUUUUGUGUUCCUUCCCUCAGUCCCUGCUAUCCCUAAGCACCUACCACUUAUGUCUCUUAGAUUAACUCGCAUUUUCUAAAGUUUCAUAUAAAUGGGAUCAUACAGUGCACAUUCUUCUGUGUGGCUUUUCUACUCAGCACAACUACAUUGAGACUCAUCCAUGUUGCAGUAUAUAACAGUGCUUUGUUUCUUUAUAUGAAUGGCUAAUACUGAAUAUACAGCUUGUUUAUUUACUUAUUGGCGAGCACUUUACUUACUUCUAUUUGGGGAUGGCAUCAAUAAAAAUGUUUUAAGAA
This is a long non-coding RNA of Peromyscus leucopus (white-footed mouse), 1778 nucleotides long. RefSeq lists it as uncharacterized. The record is from RefSeq and is a predicted model, not a curated record. NCBI's taxonomy places the organism in Eukaryota, Metazoa, Chordata, Mammalia, Rodentia, Cricetidae. The transcript is spliced from 2 exons.